Molecule: ribosomal RNA, 373 nt
Filed under: uncultured bacterium
Lineage: Bacteria
Description: bacterial SSU rRNA
Rfam family: Bacterial small subunit ribosomal RNA
Source: RNAcentral
GUAGGAGGCAAGCGUUAUCCGGAUUCACUGGGCGUAAAGCGCGUGCAGGUGGCGCGGUAAGUUGGGCGUGAAAUCUCCCGGCUCAACUGGGAGAGGUCGUCCAAUACUACCGUGCUUGAGAGCAGAAGAGGAAGAUGGAAUUCCCGGUGUAGUGGUGAAAUGCGUAGAUAUCGGGAGGAACACCAGUGGCGAAGGCGAUCUUCUGGUCUGUUUCUGACACUCAGACGCGACAGCUAGGGUAGUAAACGGGAUUAGAGACCCCGGUAAUCCUAGCCGUAAACGAUGUGAACUUGGCGUUGGUGGGUUAAACUCCAUCAGUGCCGUAGCAAACGCGAUAAGUUCACCGCCUGGGGACUACGGCCGCAAGGUUAAA